Molecule: long non-coding RNA, 175 nt
Organism: Labrus mixtus (cuckoo wrasse)
Lineage: Eukaryota; Metazoa; Chordata; Actinopteri; Labriformes; Labridae
Exons: 3
Source: RefSeq, a predicted model, not a curated record
CGUUACAGAAAAACUGCAGGGGGAGACGGUCCUUCACCGAGCUGCGUCCCUGUGUCAAAGAACUAUCUGUCAUUAUCUGGUCCAAGCAGGAGCCUCGCUCAUCAAGACAGACCUACAGGAUGAUGAGAUCAACCAACAGAGUCUGGCUGACAAACUCAAGGAGCAGAAGAUGGAC